CCUACGGGAGGCAGCAGUGGGGAAUAUUGCACAAUGGGGGAAACCCUGAUGCAGCGACGCCGCGUGAGUGAAGAAGGGUUUCGGCGCGUAAAGCUCUGUCAGCGGGGAAGAAACACGGAUCGCGAGAGCCGCGGACGGUACGCGACCAAGAAGCCCCGGCGAACUACGUGCCAGCAGCCGCGGUAAGACGUAGGGGGCAAGCGGUCGCCGGCUUCACUGGGUGGAAAGGGAGCGUAGACGGCGAGACAAGGCUGGAGUGAAAGGCCGGGGCCCAACCCCGGGACUGCUCUGGAAACUGCCUGGCUGGAGUACCGGAGAGGUAAGUGGAAUUCCUAGUGUAGCGGUGAAAUGCGUAGAUAUUAGGAGGAACACCAGUGGCGAAGGCGGCUUACUGGACUGUAACUGACGUUGAGGCUCGAAAGCGUGGGGAGCAAACAGGAUUAGAUACCCUGGUAGUC
Molecule: ribosomal RNA, 458 nt
Filed under: uncultured bacterium
Lineage: Bacteria
Description: partial 16S ribosomal RNA
Rfam family: Bacterial small subunit ribosomal RNA
Source: RNAcentral